CUCUUCUGUUUGCAAAUGACGAUGUCACCCUUUUUUAUCCCAGCUUCCUUUGUUCUUUUGUUUCUGUCGUAGUACUCUUUGUUCUCUUCUUUCUUCUACUCCAAAUUCUGCUUCGCCCUCUUGUGUCUAUUAACUACUUUUUUCCUUGUGAGUUCUGGUAAAUAUCCCCGAAUUUGUCUGUUAAAAAAUAGUUCACACGGAGCGACUUUAGUAGUUUGAUGAGGAGUUGAACGGUAUUGAAGUAGAAAC
Non-coding RNA from Paramuricea clavata, 249 nucleotides. Lineage: Eukaryota; Metazoa; Cnidaria; Anthozoa; Malacalcyonacea; Plexauridae. The record is from the annotation of a GenBank genome assembly.